CCUACGGGAGGCAGCAGUCGGGAAUAUUGCGCAAUGGAGGAAACUCUGACGCAGUGACGCCGCGUGCAGGAAGAAGGUUUUCGGAUUGUAAACUGCUUUAGACAGGGAAGAUACAAGACAGUACCUGUAAAAUAAGCUCCGGCUAACUACGUGCCAGCAGCCGCGGUAAUACGUAGGGAGCAAGCGUUAUCCGGAUUUACUGGGUGUAAAGGGCGUGUAGGCGGGCAUGCAAGCCAGAAGUGAAAUCUGGGGGCUUAACCCCCAAACUGCUUUUGGAACUGCGUGUCUUGAGUGAUGGAGAGGCAGGCGGAAUUCCCAGUGUAGCGGUGAAAUGCGUAGAUAUUGGGAGGAACACCAGUGGCGAAGGCGGCCUGCUGGACAUUAACUGACGCUGAGGCGCGAAAGCGUGGGGAGCAAACAGGAUUAGAUACCCCUGUAGUC
Molecule: ribosomal RNA, 441 nt
Filed under: uncultured bacterium
Lineage: Bacteria
Description: partial 16S ribosomal RNA
Rfam family: Bacterial small subunit ribosomal RNA
Source: RNAcentral